CCUACGGGAGGCAGCAGUGGGGAAUAUUGGGCAAUGGAGGCAACUCUGACCCAGCAACGCCGCGUGAAUGAUGAAGGUCUUCGGAUUGUAAAGUUCUGUGAUGGGGGAUGAACACAAUGACGGUACCCCAAUAGCAAGCCACGGCUAACUACGUGCCAGCAGCCGCGGUAAUACGUAGGUGGCAAGCGUUAUCCGGAAUGACUGGGCGUAAAGGGUGCGUAGGUGGUUUAGUAAGUUGGCGGUGUAAUUCCGGGGCUCAACCUCGGCGCUACCGCCAAAACUAUUAGACUAGAGUGCAGGAGGGGUAAGUGGAAUUUCUAGUGUAGGAGUGAAAUCCAUAGAUAUUAGAAGGAACACCAAUAGCGUAGGCAGGUUGCUGGGACGGUUCUGACACUAAGGCACGAAAGCGUAGGGAGCAAACGGGAUUAGAUACCCCGGUAGUC
Molecule: ribosomal RNA, 443 nt
Filed under: uncultured bacterium
Lineage: Bacteria
Description: partial 16S ribosomal RNA
Rfam family: Bacterial small subunit ribosomal RNA
Source: RNAcentral